AUGUCGUCGUCGUCCCCGCGGCCGGCGACGCAGCGCCGGCGCCUCCACCCGGCCGCCUACCUCUCCGCGGCGGCCACCCUCCUGGCGCUCGUCGCCGCGGCCUUCUCCCGCGCCCUCGGCCCCCGCUUCCCCAACCCGCCCGACGCCCGCCGCUGCCGCCCCGACCCCGAGGGCUCCUGGUCCGCCGGCGUCUUCCUCGGCGACUCCCCGUUCGCCCUCAAGCCCAUCGAACACUGGGGAAUCUCGGCGGACGCGGGCGCGGCGUGGUCGGUCGCGAACCCGGCGGUGACGUGCGCGGACGUGGCGCAGUCUGGAUCCCCCAGCAGCUUCGUCGCCAGCCCCUUCCUCUUCCUCCAGGGCGAUGGCAUCUACAUGUUCUUCGAGACGAAGAACCCCGCUACAUCGCAGGGCGACAUUGCCGCUGCCGUGAGCAAGGACGCCGGCGCGACAUGGCAGCAGCUGGGCGUGGUGCUAGAUGAGGAGUGGCAUCUCUCGUACCCAUACGUGUUCAGCUACAAUAGCAAGGUCUACAUGAUGCCUGAAAGUAGUAAGAAUGGAGAUCUCCGGUUGUAUCGUGCAUUGGAUUUCCCCCUUAAGUGGACACUGGAGAAGGUCCUUCUGGAGAAGCCACUUGUGGAUUCAGUCAUCAUAAAUUUCAGGGGUUCCUAUUGGCUCAUUGGGUCAGAUUUAAGUUCUUAUGGUGCGAAACAGAAUGGAGAGCUCAGUAUCUGGUAUAGCAGCUCUCCUCUUGCCCCUUGGAAUCCACACAGGCAUAAUACAAUCGGUAGCAUGGAUAACGGGUCGAGUUUUAGAAAUGGAGGCAGGCCCUUCGUUUAUGACGGCGAUCUCUAUCGUAUAGGCAAACAGAGUGGUGGUGUGUCUGGCCAUAGUAUUAAAGUGUUCAGAGUAGAAAUCCUAACAGCAAAUGAAUACAAGGAAAUUGAGGUCCCAUUUGUCUUUGACAAGCCCCGCAAGGGUCGAAAUGCAUGGAACGGUGCACGAUCCCAUCACCUUGAUGUUCAAUGGCUUCCAUCAAGUCAACUCUGGAUUGGUGUAAUGGAUGGUGAUAGAGUGUCUUCAAAUGAUUCAGUUCACCGCCUGACCAUAGGGUACAUGUUUUAUGGAGUCACUCUGUUACUAGUUCUUCUGCUUGGUGGGCUUAUUGGUGCAAUUAGAUGCACAAUACCACUCAGAUGGUGUGUUCCACAUACUGAGAAACGGGAUGACUUCUUCCAUUCAAAGCAGCAGUUCUUUCUGAAGUAUAAGCUAAGUUCGCUGUUUUCCAGUUUGAACAAGUUGGGUUCUCUUCUUGGUGGGAGAAUCAACUACAGAACUUGGAAGGGACGAGUUUAUGUUGUGCUAGUAAUACUAGUCUUAAUUUUUCUAACUUGUCUUGGAACUCACUGCAUAUAUGGUGGCAAUGGUGCUGAAGAGCCAUAUCCAAUCAAGGGUAGGUACUCGCAGUUCACGCUGUUAACUAUGACAUACGAUGCCCGGCUUUGGAAUCUGAAGAUGUUUGUGGAGCAUUACUCCAAAUGUGCAUCAGUGAGGGAGAUUGUGGUUAUCUGGAAUAAAGGCCGCCCCCCAGUGCAAAAUGAAUUGAAGUCAGCUGUUCCUGUCAGGGUCAGAGUUGAAGAUAAGAACACUCUGAACAAUAGAUUCAACAUGGAUGAAAAAAUUAAGACAAGAGCUGUUAUGGAGCUCGAUGAUGAUAUCAUGAUGGCAUGUGACGACUUAGAGCGUGGGUUCAAGGUAUGGAGGGAGCACCCUGAUAGGAUUGUUGGGUACUACCCACGCCUUGCUGAAGGUACUCCACUGGAAUACCGCAAUGAGAGGUAUGCUCGGCAACAAGGAGGUUAUAACAUGGUACUGACUGGAGCAGCAUUCAUGGAUCAUGGCUUGGCCUUUGAGAGGUAUUGGAGCAAGAAGGCUGAGGUAGGAAGGAAGAUGGUAGACAGUUUCUUCAAUUGUGAGGAUGUGCUUCUAAAUUUCCUGUUUGCAAAUGCAAGCUCAAUGAGCACGGUGGAGUAUGUAAAGCCAGCUUGGGCAAUUGAUAUGUCUAAGUUUUCAGGAGUAGCCAUUAGUCGAAACACACAAGCACAUUAUCAUGUUAGGAGCAAAUGCCUUGCUAAAUUUUCAGAAGUCUAUGGGAACUUAACUGCUAAAAGGUUCUUUAGCAGUCGAGGUGAUGGCUGGGAUGUAUAG
Molecule: ribosomal RNA, 2205 nt
Filed under: Triticum aestivum (bread wheat)
Lineage: Eukaryota; Viridiplantae; Streptophyta; Magnoliopsida; Poales; Poaceae
Description: partial small subunit ribosomal RNA
Source: RNAcentral